Molecule: non-coding RNA, 29 nt
Filed under: Homo sapiens (human)
Lineage: Eukaryota; Metazoa; Chordata; Mammalia; Primates; Hominidae
Source: RNAcentral
CCCAACGUCAGGGCGCGAUGGAGUGAAGC